Molecule: ribosomal RNA, 1355 nt
Filed under: seawater metagenome
Description: bacterial LSU rRNA
Rfam family: Bacterial large subunit ribosomal RNA
Source: RNAcentral
CGAGAUCAGCCUCGGUCUCGUGGGCUCGGAGAUGUGUAUAAGAGACAGCCUUUUGUAUAAUGGGUCAUCGACUUGGUCUCACAAGCAAGCUUAAGCCGUUAGGUGUAGGCGCAGCGAAAGCGAGUCUUAAUAGGGCGUUGAGUUUGUGGGAUCAGACCCGAAACCGAGUGAUCUAGGCAUGGCCAGGUUGAAGGUGCGGUAACACGCACUGGAGGACCGAACCCACAUCCGUUGAAAAGGAUCGGGAUGAGCUGUGCCUAGGGGUGAAAGGCCAAUCAAACUCGGAGAUAGCUGGUUCUCUGCGAAAUCUAUUUAGGUAGAGCGUCAUCCGAAUACCCUCGGGGGUAGAGCACUGGAUGGGUAAUGGGGCCCCACAGGCUUACUGAUCCUAACCAAACUCCGAAUACCGAGGAGUACUAGAUGGCAGACACACAGCGGAUGCUAACGUCCGUUGUGAAGAGGGAAACAACCCUGACCUACAGCUAAGGCCCCUAAUUCAUGGCUAAGUGGGAAAGCAGGUGAGACGACCAAAACAACCAGGAGGUUGGCUUAGAAGCAGCCAUCCUUUAAAGAUAGCGUAACAGCUCACUGGUCUAAAUAAGUUGUCUUGCGGCGAAGAUGUAACGGGGCUCAAGCCAUGAGCCGAAGCUUAGGAUGCAUUUAUUGCAUGGUAGCAGAGCGUAGUGUGACAUAGUUCCAUGUCUCCUUAGCCCUUCGGGGUAUUGGAGACGCGGAACUUUCUGUGAAGCGGGCCUGUGAGGGAUCCCGUGGAGAGAUCACUAGUGAGAAUGAUGACAUGAGUAGCGACAAAGAGUGUGAGAGACACUCUCGCCGAAAGUCCAAGGGUUCCUGCUUAAAGCUAAUCUGAGCAGGGUAAGCCGACCCCUAAGGCGAGGCCGAAAGGCGUAGUCGAUGGGAACCAGGUUAAUAUUCCUGGGCCAGAUGGAAGUGACGGAUCUCGAGGGUAGUUCAUCCUUAUCGGAUUGAAUGGGCUGCUUAGAGGUCCCUGGAAAUAGCUCCAUCGCUAGAUCGUACCCUAAACCGACACAGGUGGACUGGUAGAGAAUACCAAGGCGCUUGAGAGAACGAUGUUGAAGGAACUCGGCAAAAUACCUCCGUAAGUUCGCGAGAAGGAGGCCCGGUUCCAAGGCAACUUGGAGCUGGGGGCACAAACCAGGGGGUGGCGACUGUUUACUAAAAACACAGGGCUCUGCGAAGUCGCAAGACGACGUAUAGGGUCUGACGCCUGCCCGGUGCCUGAAGGUUAAAAGGAGGGGUGAGAGCUCUGAAUUGAAGCCCAGGUAAACGGCGGCCGUAACUAUAACGGUCCUAAGGUAGCGAAAUUCCUUGUCGGG